This 1248-nucleotide ribosomal RNA is filed under the name Halorubrum sp. HBCC-2. RNAcentral describes it as "bacterial SSU rRNA". It matches the Rfam family "Archaeal small subunit ribosomal RNA", at positions 201 to 1453 of the family's 1478-position model. The record is from RNAcentral. Lineage: Archaea; Methanobacteriati; Methanobacteriota; Halobacteria; Halobacteriales; Haloferacaceae.
GCCGAAGGAUGUGGCUGCGGCCGAUUAGGUAGACGGUGGGGUAACGGCCCACCGUGCCAAUAAUCGGUACGGGUCAUGAGAGUGAGAACCCGGAGACGGAAUCUGAGACAAGAUUCCGGGCCCUACGGGGCGCAGCAGGCGCGAAACCUUUACACUGCACGACAGUGCGAUAGGGGGAUCCCAAGUGCACAGGCAUAGCGCCUGUGCUUUUCGGUACCGUAAGGUGGUACCAGAAUAAGGGCUGGGCAAGACCGGUGCCAGCCGCCGCGGUAAUACCGGCAGCCCAAGUGAUGGCCGAUCUUAUUGGGCCUAAAGCGUCCGUAGCUGGCCGCGCAAGUCCAUCGGGAAAUCCACCUGCUCAACAGGUGGGCGCCCGGUAGAAACUGCGUGGCUUGGGACCGGAAGGCGCGACGGGUACGUCCGGGGUAGGAGUGAAAUCCCGUAAUCCUGGACGGACCGCCGAUGGCGAAAGCACGUCGCGAGGACGGAUCCGACAGUGAGGGACGAAAGCCAGGGUCUCGAACCGGAUUAGAUACCCGGGUAGUCCUGGCYGUAAACAAUGUCUGCUAGGUGUGGCUCCCACUACGAGUGGGUGCUGUGCCGUAGGGAAGCCGCUAAGCAGACCGCCUGGGAAGUACGUCCGCAAGGAUGAAACUUAAAGGAAUUGGCGGGGGAGCACUACAACCGGAGGAGCCUGCGGUUUAAUUGGACUCAACGCCGGACAUCUCACCAGCAUCGACUGUAAUAAUGACGACCAGGUUGAUGACCUUGUCCGAGUUUCAGAGAGGAGGUGCAUGGCCGCCGUCAGCUCGUACCGUGAGGCGUCCUGUUAAGUCAGGCAACGAGCGAGACCCGCACCCUUACUUGCCAGCAGUAUCGCGAGAUAGCUGGGGACAGUAGGGGGACCGCCGUGGCUAACACGGAGGAAGGAACGGGCAACGGUAGGUCAGUAUGCCCCGAAUGUGCUGGGCAACACGCGGGCUACAAUGGUCGAGACAAAGGGUUCCUACUCCGAAAGGAGACGGUAAUCUCAGAAACUCGAUCGUAGUUCGGAUUGUGGGCUGCAACUCGCCCACAUGAAGCUGGAUUCGGUAGUAAUCGCGUGUCACAAGCGCGCGGUGAAUACGUCCCUGCUCCUUGCACACACCGCCCGUCAAAGCACCCGAGUGAGGUCCGGAUGAGGCGUUCCACGAACGUCGAAUCUGGGCUUCGCAAGGGGGCUUAAGUCGUAACAAGGUAGCCGUAGGG